UGGGGAAUAUUGCACAAUGGAGGGAACUCUGAUGCAGCGACGCCGCGUGAACGAAGAAGGCUUUCGAGUCGUAAAGUUCUUUUAUAUGGGAAGAUAAUGACGGUACCAUAAGAAAAAGCCCCGGCUAACUACGUGCCAGCAGCCGCGGUAAUCCGUAGGGGGCUAGCGUUGUCCGGAAUCACUGGGCGUAAAGGGUUCGCAGGCGGAAAUGCAAGUCAGGUGUAAAAGGCAGUAGCUUAACUACUGUAAGCAUUUGAAACUGCAUAUCUUGAGAAGAGUAGAGGUAAGUGGAAUUUUUAGUGUAGCGGUGAAAUGCGUAGAUAUUAAAAAGAAUACCGGUGGCGAAGGCGACUUACUGGACUCAUUCUGACGCUGAGGAACGAAAGCGUGGGUAGCAAACAGG
Molecule: ribosomal RNA, 403 nt
Filed under: Verrucomicrobiota bacterium
Lineage: Bacteria; Pseudomonadati; Verrucomicrobiota
Description: Verrucomicrobia bacterium partial 16S ribosomal RNA
Rfam family: Bacterial small subunit ribosomal RNA
Source: RNAcentral